AAUAGAUACCCGGGUAGUCCACGCCGUAAACGAUGAAUGUUAGCCGUCGGCAUGCAUGCAUGUCGGUGGCGCAGCUAACGCAUUAAGCAUUCCGCCUGGGGAGUACGGUCGCAAGAUUAAAACUCAAAGGAAUUGACGGGGGGCCCGCACAAGCGGUGGAGCAUGUGGUUUAAUUCGAAGCAACGCGCAGAACCUUACCAGCCCUUGACAUGUCGGUCGCGGACAAUGGAGACAUUGUCCUUCAGUUAGGCUGGACCGAACACAGGUGCUGCAUGGCUGUCGUCAGCCCGUGUCGUGAGAUGUUGGGUUAAGUCCCGCAACGAGCGCAACCCUCGCCCUUAGUUGCCAGCAUUCAGUUGGGCACUCUAAGGGGACUGCCGGUGAUAAGCCGAGAGGAAGGUGGGGAUGACGUCAAGUCCUCAUGGCCCUUACGGGGCUGGGCUACACACGUGCUACGAAUGGUGGUGACAGUGGGCAGCGAGACAGCGAUGUCGAGCUAAUCUCCAAAAGCCA
RNAcentral lists this ribosomal RNA (513 nucleotides) under uncultured bacterium. Its description in RNAcentral is "bacterial SSU rRNA". It matches the Rfam family "Bacterial small subunit ribosomal RNA", at positions 777 to 1285 of the family's 1533-position model. The record is from RNAcentral.